Molecule: RNA transcript, 5625 nt
Organism: Falco peregrinus (peregrine falcon)
Lineage: Eukaryota; Metazoa; Chordata; Aves; Falconiformes; Falconidae
Gene name: C-type lectin domain family 2 member L-like
Exons: 5
Source: RefSeq, a predicted model, not a curated record
CUGCGCAGGCUCCGUCCCUUGGCGUCAUGUUUAAAGCCUCCAUCUUCGCUACGUUGCACGUGCAACGGGAAUCUGAGACGAAACGUCCCAUCUAGCGACAACCGACCCAAGGACUUGGCCGCGUGCGCAUCCGCCAUGCGGCAAUAAGGGUCCCUGGACAUUUCCCGACUUUUAACUAAACACAGGUGCGUCACCCUUUAGAUAAGCGGCACAGCAUUCGCUAUUCACCGGCCACGGUCAUCGCAGGGGUCAACGGGCUCCUCGCUUCCCGCCGGCCUGUAGGUGGACACUGAGAUCGCCCAGAUGACACAAGCAUUUCUGGAGGAUGCAAAAUCCAGUAAUGCCAAACAAGAUGCCAGUCAAGGCGUGGAAGCUAGUUCAUGCGUGUGGAGGACAAGGAGAUGCUUUGAAGAGUGGUUCAAGAAGCACAAAUAUUGCGUGUGUGGUAAGACAGCUUCCUGCAGGAAGCCUGAAGUCUAGUUCCAAGUCUAGUUUCAGGUCCCUGGGAGUUUACUUCUGGUCAAAGCUGUGGUCACAAAAAUUAAGAUUACUGUUCUGUUUGAUCAGAACAGUUGAUGUCAACUGUUCAUGUUUGAUCCUUUUGUGUAAAAAAGGACAUUUUCCCAUGUAGUAAUGUCUGUAUGAAAUACUCCUGGACAAGAUGUAGAAAGUGAAGCCAAGCCUCAUUAGAGAAAGUAGUUUGCAACAGAUGAGCUUGCACAUCUGCACUGAAACUUGUGCAUGAAGGACUGCUUGUGACAAAGAAAAAAGACAUUUGAUUCAAGACUGCAGCCAUGCUACAAACAUUAACUUUUAAUGUGUGAAUUGUGUGAGAAUCCUGUUUUCCAAAUGUGGGUGUAGCUUGAUUGGAGUUAGCGUGACCUGCGAGUUCUCAGCCUCCUGAGAGGUUCUUGCUAAAUGGUUUGCAGAACAUAGAGGAGGUGAUAAACUUGGGACUGGAAGACUUAAAUUUGCUGUACAGGGAUCUGCACAUCUGUGGAAAACUUUAGGUUGUAUACAAAUAAAAAAGUGACUUAGUUGAUAGCUGAUCAUUUUAUCAAACUGUCCGGUACAUAAAUGUCAAUUCAGGGUGCCUUGGUUGACUUUAACAGUGCUUUGAUUUACAUACUUGGAGUUUAAAUGAACGGUUAUCCUGCUGCUGUCUCAUUUAAUACUGAAAUACAGACUGAGCCUAAAUGCUCAUAUAUACAAAACCUUUAAUGAUUCUUUUUUUCUGUCUGUUGCCAGUUUUUCUGCUAGUUGUUGUAGCUGUUCUGCUGGUGCUGGUGCUUUCCUUCAUCACUAAAUGCAGACUUCCAUCUGGUAAGCUUUUGGAACAUCUUCCAUAUGAGAGAGAUUUCCUCUGACUGCUGACUGGUCCAGGAUCACAGCAGUCAAACACACUGAUAACUAGUACUCUGCAGUGCCUGCAGCGUGACAAAACCUGGGACUUCCAUCACUAUUUCAGUUGUUUUGAUGUUGGUAUAAGAUGGAAUAACCUCCACGCCUCCAGGCAGAAUACAAAAGGAGAGAGGAUUCUCCCUGCAGAUAAAAUCCAGAUGAUACAGUGGUAAACUGUUUCUUUUCCCUGCAUUGUUACUGGUCAUAAGAGUGUAGUUUCUUGCCUGGCCGUGGUGUACGCAUGUCUUGCCUGUGCUUGUCACCAGAAACUUAGCUGAUUAUACCAGCUAGUGCAUGCACUAAAGCUGACAUCACAUCUUCAGACAUAGAUUCCAAGCUUAUUGUGUGGGCUGCUCAUAUAUGUGGGCUUGAGGGCUCCUUUAUUGUCACACUUGGCAGACGACUAGGUAAUAGCAGUUGCCUCAUCUUCUUCACAAAUAGUCUUUGGGGAUCGUUCUGCCUCUUUCUUUUUAAAAAAUUCAUUUGUGUUACAUGCUGUAGCUUUAAGAAGUCAGCCCUACCUCCCGCUGGCACAGUAGAGGCCAGAUGUGCACUUGCUGUCCUGUGCAGAACCCUUCUGUAGGAGCAAAGGCUGUGCUGCCUGCGGUACUACCUGAGGUAUCCAAGUCACGGCGUGCAUGAGUAUCUCAAUGCAGCCUCCACAGCCUCGUCUGCAAGGGAGCUCUUGAAUCUCUGCAUUAAAUAUAUCUGUGGGCUGCCCCCUGCAACAUGGGUGUAGUAGUGAGGUCCUCUGCACAUACAUGGAAGCGGGUGGAGGAUGAUGGUGACAUCUGUCCCUGUUGAUUUUUCUUUGCUUUUUUAGGCUUUUACUUAAAUGGAAUCAGUCACACUUUCUUUCAGGGGUUGAGGGCAGUGCUCACAGGUGAUUUGCUAAGGGGUCUCCAGCUACUCUCUUUGCUACAUGUAAUUGAUCAGAAAAGAAGAGAGCAAUUCACUUUCUGUAAGCCUCUCUACUCGUGUAACAGCCAGUCACUUUCAUUUCAGUAUUGGCCAUCUCCAGGGUUAAGCAGUGGAUAGUUGCCCUUUGGGUGCAGAAGGUCUGAAUUCAAUCCCAGCAGGAUGACUCGGGGAAAUACGCUUUAUACACUGCAUGAGCCUGGGUGUAUGAUAAAAGACACCAUGCUGCACAGAGAAGGUCACUGUAACCAUUCAGUAACAAUCGGGGCAGGUUAUUUUUGUCUGGAAAAUAGAAACCAAAGUAAAUGGAAAUUGAUUAUCUUCAUUGCAAGAAAUUAAACGUCACCGAAACAAAACAUGCCAGUGAAUCCUGUCAGCCCUACAGAGCUGUGACAGAAAGAAGAUGGAGAGGGCAUCAAAACGCGCUGUUGAACAACUCCAAUGAACCAUUCUCCAAACCAUUAUUUCCAAAGUGGUGCAAAACCUGGGAUGUGCCCCAGGGACUGGAUAGGUUACAGAGAGAAAUGUUAUUUCUUCCCAGAGGAGCAAAAAAACUGGACAUCUAGUCAGACCUUCUGUACUGAGCAUGGAUCCUCGCUAGCUGUUUUUGAAAGCCCGGAUGAAAUGCAGGCUUUCACUAAGCUUUUGAAAUUUGAAGAGGCCUGGAUUGGGUUGCGCAAGAUAGGUGAAAGAUACUACUGGGAGAACGGUAUUGCCUUGGAGAUGGACAAGUUCCAUAUACAGAAUCACUCCGACUGUGCCUACUUGUAUGACUCCGUUAUUUCUACGUCAGCAUGCUCUUUGCCUAGGUACUUCAUCUGCGUCAGGCUUCCCUAAAGCGAUGACUUAACUAUCCAUUGAUACAGCCUAGUGAUGGUACACGUGCUGCACCUAUGCUGUCUCAGACCAUCAGCCUAAAUCGGAGAGAAGAGGAUUUGUCCGAGCUUCCAAAACGUGCUUCUAGGUGGCCUUUCCUAGGACAGGAGUGUGCUAGUCCAGUUUACAGAUCACCUACAAUAUUUACCAGUGCUGGCUGACAAAGCUCAGGGUUGAGUGGGAUUGUUGCUAAUCUUCUGAUAAGUAAGGAUCUCUUUCGUAUCCUGCUUCCUCUUAGAACGUGGCCUUGGGGAUACACAGCAGCCAGAGACACCAGCCAGCCAGGACACCUCUGAUUCUCUGGAAACGUGUUUUAUACUUUGCUGAACUUUAUGCUGUAUCACUAUCUGCAUAGACUUAUGCAUGCUUAUAUAGAAAGACUUUCAGUUGAAAUUGUGUUCUUUUAAUGAAGCUAAUGUCCUCAGUUUGCACCCAUGCCGGUCCGUGGCCAUCGUUGCUGUCAACACUUCCUAUGUCUGAAUGAUGAGAAGUUCCAUAUUUACCAAAGGAAGCGGCUACAAAGUCUUUCGUAUGCUGCCUUUUUUUGUGAGGGCUUUCAAAUUAAUAUUUACCAGGUUUGUCCAUGCUAAAAUUUGAGCUUGUGCAAAAAAGCCAAAAGCACCCCCACCCCAAUGCAGCGGGGUUAUUUGUGACCAGUCUAGUGCACAAUACUGAGGAAAAAGGCAUAUUCAGGGUUUUUUUGUACCCCCUGCAAGCACUACGUGCCCAAAAUCUCCUGACGCUGGAGACUGCAGUGUUUACACACAAAGUGCAGGAAAAAAAGGUUCUAAGCAGACAGCUGUAGCAGACUGGGACAUGAGAGCCACCACCAUUGGUGCCAAAACGGGCAGAGUAACUGCUCAGAGACUAAUUUUGUCUUUGAGCAGCAGAGGUAUUUAUUUCAUGCAGCAUUGGGGAACUAGCCUGUUGCAGCACUCUCAAAACCAUCCAGCUGCAACAAGGUCUUUCACCACCUCAUACCAGCAUACCCUUCAUACAGUCCCUCUGCUGCCACCUCAUCCAGGGCCUGUGUUCUCUCUCCUCUUGCUUCUUCCCCGGCUGCUCUCUCUUCAUUGGCUCUCAACCACUUUGCUUAAGCAGCCACAGCUGUACCUUAUCCACAUGGGCCAACCCGCCACAGCUGUAUGUUAUCAAUGCUGAUUAACCCAGCUUCAUUCCACUACACUAACUACACUACACUAGCACAAGACAAACUAGCUCCAAAGUUUUCAGUGAAAAGUUUUUGUGAGAGGUUACAACAUCUUUACAUACAUAUUCAUUUGAUCGUGACAUCUAAUCAUUCUAUUCAUAAUAGACAGGAUCUAGGUGGAGUAAACCUUUCAACUUUCUCUGUUCAAUGAUUUCCUGACUCAUGGUCUCCUUAUCUCCUUCAGGUGCCCACCAUAUCUUUUCUAAUUAUUCAGAGGACAUUCCUUUAACAUCAUCAGUGGAACCUUUUCUAAUUACAUCCCUUUCUCAACACAGAGCAUCACCCAGAGCAUUGCACCAAACUCAUCCUGACCGAUCUUUUUAAGACCUUGCUCUGUUUACCAUUUGCUAGUGUCCCUUUGCUGAAGCUUCUUAGGCAUUGUCAGCACAAGCCCUCGGCUGCUGCAUUCCUGGGGGGCGUGUGAAGAGUCUACAUUAUCUUCUCUCAGUUGUGCUGUGUUGCAGAAACCUCCAGCAGAAGGGUAGAGCCCAUAAUUGGGGGCGGUAACUUCACUUGCCUCGGCAACAUCUGCCAGAAGUUCUGUUGGAGCCUUCAGUUGGCUGGUUACUGAAGGUACGUCAGCAGAGGGUUGUAUGUUUCUCUGCCUCUCACAUCUUGCCUGCUAAUGAUGUUAGUCAUGGAAUCAUAGAAGCAUUUAGGUUGGAAUGGUCUUACGGUCUUCAAGUCCAGCUGUGAAUGAUGUGGCAGCCUGGUAAGAAAUUCCUGUAAAAAGAGCAUUAUAUAAUGGUGCUGAAGGUGGCAGGGUGUGUCACUGAAUUACUUUUUGGGGUGCUGUGUGUAGAGAUGCUAAUCCUGAAUCAGGUUCCACUGAUGCCAGUUUCACACCCGGGUGCUUCCAGAGCCACCUGCACUAAGGUUAUCCCUUGAAAACUGGUGCAAAUGAAGUCAGAACUCGUACUCUGCAUUUCAAAAGCUGCUACCUGUCAUAACUCGGAAUAUUUUGCUACAAAUGGAAUACUAAGAGGAAUGUAAUGAGCAAUUAUUCAAUUGUAUUGAAUUGUAUCAACAAUUCAAAGUACUUGCAAUGUGGGAAGCUCCUGGACUGAGUUUCUGGAAAGGGGCUGUUGGAGAGGGGAGGUGGAAUAGGAGGCGUAGGACAGUUUGGGGCUUUUCACUGUUGUAAAACUUGACUAUGGGAUCCUGAGAGAAAAAGGUAACCAAGAACUGUCUUGAAUAAAUGGAAUUUCCGUACAAAUCCA